Molecule: ribosomal RNA, 497 nt
Filed under: uncultured bacterium
Lineage: Bacteria
Description: partial 16S ribosomal RNA
Rfam family: Bacterial small subunit ribosomal RNA
Source: RNAcentral
GACGAACGCUGGCGGCGUGCCUAAUACAUGCAAGUUGAGCGCUGAAGGUUGGUACUUGUACCGACUGGAUGAGCAGCGAACGGGUGAGUAACGCGUGGGGAAUCUGCCUUUGAGCGGGGGACAACAUUUGGAAACGAAUGCUAAUACCGCAUAAAAACUUUAAACACAAGUUUUAAGUUUGAAAGAUGCAAUUGCAUCACUCAAAGAUGAUCCCGCGUUGUAUUAGCUAGUUGGUGAGGUAAAGGCUCACCAAGGCGAUGAUACAUAGCCGACCUGGGAGGGUGAUCGGCCACAUUGGGACUGAGACACGGCCCAUACUCCUACGGGAGGCAGCAGUAGGGAAUCUUCGGCAAUGGACGAAAGUCUGACCGAGCAACGCCGCGUGAGUGAAGAAGGUUUUCGGAUCGUAAAACUCUGUUGGUGGAGAAGAACGUUGGUGAGAGUGGAAAGCUCAUCAAGUGACGGUAACUACCCAGAAAGGGACGGCUAACUACGUG